Molecule: ribosomal RNA, 516 nt
Filed under: uncultured crenarchaeote
Lineage: Archaea; Thermoproteati; Thermoproteota
Description: bacterial SSU rRNA
Rfam family: Archaeal small subunit ribosomal RNA
Source: RNAcentral
GGGGUGCAGCAGGCGCGAAACCUCCUCAAUGCACUGAAGUGUGAAGGGGUUACCUCGAGUGCCGCCUGAAGAAGGCGGCUUUUCCUUGGUCUAAAAAGCCUUGGGAAUAAGAGGGGGGCAAGACUGGUGUCAGCCGCCGCGGUAACACCAGCCCCUCGAGUGGUGGGGAUGAUUAUUUGGCCUAAAGCGUCCGUAGCCGGCCGAGUAAGUUUCCCGUUAAAUCCAGCGUCUCAAGCGUUGGGCUGCGGGAAAUACUGCCCGGCUAGAGAGUGGGAGAGGAAAGCGGUAUUCUGGGGGUAGGGGCGAAAUCCUUUGAUCCCCGGAGGACCACCAGUGGCGAAGGCUGCUUUCUAGAACACGUCUGACGGUCAGGGACGAAAGCUGGGGUAGCGAACCGGAUUAGAUACCCGGGUAGUCCCAGCUGUAAACGAUGCACGCUAGGUGUUGGGUCGGCCACGCGCCGCCCCAGUGCCGCAGGGAAGCCGUAAGCGUGCCGCCGGGAGACGCGCAGAUCUU